AUUGAACGCUGGCGGCAUGCCUUACACAUGCAAGUCGAACGGCAGCACGGGAGCAAUCCUGGUGGCGAGUGGCGAACGGGUGAGUAAUAUAUCGGAACGUGCCCGGUCGUGGGGAUAACGUAGCGAAAGCUACGCUAAUACCGCAUACGAUCUACGGAUGAAAGCGGGGGAUCGCAAGACCUCGCGCGAUUGGAGCGGCCGAUAUCAGAUUAGGUAGUUGGUGAGGUAAAGGCUCACCAAGCCGACGAUCUGUAGCUGGUCUGAGAGGACGACCAGCCACACUGGGACUGAGACACGGCCCAGACUCCUACGGGAGGCAGCAGUGGGGAAUUUUGGACAAUGGCGCAAGCCUGAUCCAGCAAUGCCGCGUGCAGGAUGAAGGCCUU
Molecule: ribosomal RNA, 386 nt
Filed under: uncultured bacterium
Lineage: Bacteria
Description: bacterial SSU rRNA
Rfam family: Bacterial small subunit ribosomal RNA
Source: RNAcentral